UCCUACGGGGCGCAGCAGUAGGGAAUAUUGCUCAAUGGGGGAAACCCUGAAGCAGCAACGCCGCGUGGAGGAUGAAGGUUUUCGGAUUGUAAACUCCUUUUGUUAGAGAAGAUAAUGACGGUAUCUAACGAAUAAGCACCGGCUAACUCCGUGCCAGCAGCCGCGGUAAUACGGAGGGUGCAAGCGUUACUCGGAAUCACUGGGCGUAAAGAGCGCGUAGGCGGCUUUUCAAGUCAGGGGUGAAAUCCCACGGCCCAACCGUGGAACUGCCUUUGAAACUGUAGAGCUUGAGUGUCGGAGAGGGG
Molecule: ribosomal RNA, 305 nt
Filed under: uncultured bacterium
Lineage: Bacteria
Description: bacterial SSU rRNA
Rfam family: Bacterial small subunit ribosomal RNA
Source: RNAcentral